This 247-nucleotide ribosomal RNA is filed under the name uncultured Hyphomicrobiaceae bacterium. RNAcentral describes it as "partial 16S ribosomal RNA". It matches the Rfam family "Bacterial small subunit ribosomal RNA", at positions 796 to 1041 of the family's 1533-position model. The record is from RNAcentral. Lineage: Bacteria; Pseudomonadati; Pseudomonadota; Alphaproteobacteria; Hyphomicrobiales; Hyphomicrobiaceae.
CACGCCGUAAACGAUGGAUGCUAGCCGUUGGCAAGCUUGCUUGUCGGUGGCGCAGCUAACGCAUUAAGCAUCCCGCCUGGGGAGUACGGCCGCAAGGUUAAAACUCAAAGGAAUUGACGGGGGCCCGCACAAGCGGUGGAGCAUGUGGUUUAAUUCGACGCAACGCGAAGAACCUUACCAAGCCUUGACAUGUCCGGUCGGUUUCCAGAAAUGGAUUCCUCCUAGCAAUAGGUCGGAACACAGGUGC